This is an unclassified non-coding RNA of Papio anubis (olive baboon), 150 nucleotides long. It matches the Rfam family "Metazoan signal recognition particle RNA". Rfam says of the family: The signal recognition particle (SRP) is a universally conserved ribonucleoprotein. It is involved in the co-translational targeting of proteins to membranes. The eukaryotic SRP consists of a 300-nucleotide 7S RNA and six proteins: SRPs 72, 68, 54, 19, 14, and 9. The record is from Ensembl. NCBI's taxonomy places the organism in Eukaryota, Metazoa, Chordata, Mammalia, Primates, Cercopithecidae.
GCUGGGUGAGAGGUGGCAGGCACCUGUAAUCCCAGCUACUCAGGAGGCUGAGGCAGAAGAAUCGCUUGAACCCAGGAGGCUGAGGUUGCAGUGAGCUGAGAUCAGGCCACUGCACUCCAGCCUGGGUGACAGAGCGAGACUCUGUCUCAA